RNAcentral lists this ribosomal RNA (515 nucleotides) under uncultured bacterium. RNAcentral describes it as "partial 16S ribosomal RNA". It matches the Rfam family "Bacterial small subunit ribosomal RNA", at positions 355 to 860 of the family's 1533-position model. The record is from RNAcentral.
UGGGGAAUAUUGGACAAUGGGCGCAAGCCUGAUCCAGCAAUGCCGCGUGUGUGAAGAAGGCCUUCGGGUUGUAAAGCACUUUUAUCAGGAGCGAAACGCUGUCGGCUAAUACCCGGCGGAACUGACGGUACCUGAGGAAUAAGCACCGGCUAACUUCGUGCCAGCAGCCGCGGUAAUACGAAGGGUGCAAGCGUUAAUCGGAAUUACUGGGCGUAAAGCGUGCGUAGGCGGUUUCUUAGUCUGCUGUGAAAUCCCCGGGCUCAACCUGGGAAUGGCAGUGGAUACUGGGAGGCUAGAGUGUGUCAGAGGGUGGUGGAAUUCCCGGUGUAGCGGUGAAAUGCGUAGAGAUCGGGAGGAACAUCAGUGGCGAAGGCGGCCACCUGGGACAACACUGACGCUGAGGCACGAAAGCGUGGGGAGCAAACAGGAUUAGAUACCCUGGUAGUCCACGCCCUAAAGCGAUGCGAACUGGAUGUUGGUCUCAACCGCAGCAUGCAGUGUCGAAGCUAACGCGU